UUGACGGGGACCCGCACAAGCGGUGGAUGAUGUGGUUUAAUUCGAUGCAACGCGAAAAACCUUACCCACCUUUGGCAUGUACGGAACUUACCAGAGAUGGUUUGGUGCUCGAAAGAGAGCCGUAACACAGGUGCUGCAUGGCUGUCGUCAGCUCGUGUCGUGAGAUGUUGGGUUAAGUCCCGCAACGAGCGCAACCCUUGUCAUUAGUUGCUACGAAAGGGCACUCUAAUGAGACUGCCGGUGACAAACCGGAGGAAGGUGGGGAUGACGUCAAGUCCUCAUGGCCCUUAUAGGUGGGGCUACACACGUCAUACAAUGGCUGGUACAAAGGGUUGCCAACCCGCGAGGGGGAGCCAAUCCCAUAAAGCCAGUCGUAGUCCGGAUCGCAGUCUGCAACUCGACUGCGUGAAGUCGGAAUCGCUAGUAAUCGUGGAUCAGCAUGUCACGGUGAAUACGUUCCCGGGUCUUGUACACACCGCCCGUCACACCAUGGGAGCGGGUCUCGCCAGAAGUAGUUAGCCUAACCGCAAGGAGGGCGAUUACCACGGCGGGGUUCGUGACUGGGGUGAAGUCGUAACAAGGUAACCAAGGGCGAAUUCCAGCACACUGGCGGCCGUUACU
RNAcentral lists this ribosomal RNA (621 nucleotides) under uncultured beta proteobacterium. Its description in RNAcentral is "bacterial SSU rRNA". It matches the Rfam family "Bacterial small subunit ribosomal RNA", at positions 910 to 1533 of the family's 1533-position model. The record is from RNAcentral. Lineage: Bacteria; Pseudomonadati; Pseudomonadota; Betaproteobacteria.